Non-coding RNA from Schistosoma haematobium, 46 nucleotides. The record is from Rfam. Lineage: Eukaryota; Metazoa; Platyhelminthes; Trematoda; Strigeidida; Schistosomatidae.
GCACCGCUGAGGAGUCCCGCAAUAAGACGAAACGGUCGUCCGGUGC